AUUGAACGCUGGCGGCAGGCCUAACACAUGCAAGUCGAGCGGAUGAAGGGAGCUUGCUCCUGGAUUCAGCGGCGGACGGGUGAGUAAUGCCUAGGAAUCUGCCUGGUAGUGGGGGAUAACGUCCGGAAACGGGCGCUAAUACCGCAUACGUCCUGAGGGAGAAAGUGGGGGAUCUUCGGACCUCACGCUAUCAGAUGAGCCUAGGUCGGAUUAGCUAGUUGGUGGGGUAAAGGCCUACCAAGGCGACGAUCCGUAACUGGUCUGAGAGGAUGAUCAGUCACACUGGAACUGAGACACGGUACAGACUCCUACGGGAGGCAGCAGUGGGGAAUAUUGGACAAUGGGCGAAAGCCUGAUCCAGCCAUGCAGCGUGUGUGCAGAAGGUCUUCGGAUUGUAAAGCACUUUAAGUUGGGAGGAAGGGCAGUAAGUUAAUACCUUGCUGUUUUGACGUUACCAACAGAAUAAGCACCGGCUAACUUCGUG
Molecule: ribosomal RNA, 484 nt
Filed under: uncultured bacterium
Lineage: Bacteria
Description: partial 16S ribosomal RNA
Rfam family: Bacterial small subunit ribosomal RNA
Source: RNAcentral